GCACCGGCUAACUACGUGCCAGCAGCCGCGUCAAUACGUAUGGUGCAAGCGUUAAUCGGAAUUACUGGGCGUAUAGCGUGCGCAGGCGGUCCGCUAAGACAGAUGUGCAAAUCCCCGGGCUUAACCUGUUAACUGCAUUUGUGACUGGCGGACUAUAGUAUGGAACAGUGAGAUACAAUUCUACGUGUAGCAGUGAAUUGCGUAAAGAUGUGUAGGUAUACCGAUGCCGAAGCCAGACCCCUGGACCUAUACUGACGCUCAUGCACGAAAGCGUGGGGAGCAAACAGGAUU
Molecule: ribosomal RNA, 291 nt
Filed under: Burkholderia sp. SF-6
Lineage: Bacteria; Pseudomonadati; Pseudomonadota; Betaproteobacteria; Burkholderiales; Burkholderiaceae
Description: partial 16S ribosomal RNA
Rfam family: Bacterial small subunit ribosomal RNA
Source: RNAcentral